AGCUUGCUGCUUCGCUGACGAGUGGCGGACGGGUGAGUAAUGUCUGGGAAACUGCCUGAUGGAGGGGGAUAACUACUGGAAACGGUGGCUAAUACCGCAUAACGUCGCAAGACCAAAGAGGGGGACCUUCGGGCCUCUUGCCAUCAGAUGUGCCCAGAUGGGAUUAGCUUGUUGGUGAGGUAACGGCUCACCAAGGCGACGAUCCCUAGCUGGUCUGAGAGGAUGACCAGCCACACUGGAACUGAGACACGGUCCAGACUCCUACGGGAGGCAGCAGUGGGGAAUAUUGCACAAUGGGCGCAAGCCUGAUGCAGCCAUGCCGCGUGUAUGAAGAAGGCCUUCGGGUUGUAAAGUACUUUCAGCGGGGAGGAAGGUGUUGUGGUUAAUAACCGCAGCAAUUGACGUUACCCGCAGAAGAAGCACCGGCUAACUCCGUGCCAGCAGCCGCGGUAAUACGGAGGGUGCAAGCGUUAAUCGGAAUUACUGGGCGUAAAGCGCACGCAGGCGGUCUGUCAAGUCGGAUGUGAAAUCCCCGGGCUCAACCUGGGAACUGCAUUCGAAACUGGCAGGCUUGAGUCUUGUAGAGGGGGGUAGAAUUCCAGGUGUAGCGGUGAAAUGCGUAGAGAUCUGGAGGAAUACCGGUGGCGAAGGCGGCCCCCUGGACAAAGACUGACGCUCAGGUGCGAAAGCGUGGGGAGCAAACAGGAUUAGAUACCCUGGUAGUCCACGCCGUAAACGAUGUCUACUUGGAGGUUGUGCCCUUGAGGCGUGGCUUCCGGAGCUAACGCGUUAAGUAGACCGCCUGGGGAGUACGGCCGCAAGGUUAAAACUCAAAUGAAUUGACGGGGGCCCGCACAAGCGGUGGAGCAUGUGGUUUAAUUCGAUGCAACGCGAAGAACCUUACCUGGUCUUGACAUCCACAGAAGAAUCCAGAGAUGGAUUUGUGCCUUCGGGAACUGUGAGACAGGUGCUGCAUGGCUGUCGUCAGCUCGUGUUGUGAAAUGUUGGGUUAAGUCCCGCAACGAGCGCAACCCUUAUCCUUU
This 1043-nucleotide ribosomal RNA is filed under the name Salmonella enterica. RNAcentral's name for it is "bacterial SSU rRNA". It matches the Rfam family "Bacterial small subunit ribosomal RNA", at positions 77 to 1113 of the family's 1533-position model. The record is from RNAcentral. Lineage: Bacteria; Pseudomonadati; Pseudomonadota; Gammaproteobacteria; Enterobacterales; Enterobacteriaceae.